This 497-nucleotide ribosomal RNA is filed under the name uncultured bacterium. Its description in RNAcentral is "partial 16S ribosomal RNA". It matches the Rfam family "Bacterial small subunit ribosomal RNA", at positions 28 to 507 of the family's 1533-position model. The record is from RNAcentral.
GAUGAACGCUGGCGGCGUGCCUAAUACAUGCAAGUCGAGCGAACGGACGAGGAGCUUGCUUCUCUGAUGUUAGCGGCGGACGGGUGAGUAACACGUGGAUAACCUACCUAUAAGACUGGGAUAACUUCGGGAAACCGGAGCUAAUACCGGAUGACAUGUUGAACCGCAUGGUUCAACAGUGAAAGACGGUCUUGCUGUCACUUAUAGAUGGAUCCGCGCUGCAUUAGCUAGUUGGUAAGGUAACGGCUUACCAAGGCAACGAUGCGUAGCCGACCUGAGAGGGUGAUCGGCCACACUGGAACUGAGACACGGUCCAGACUCCUACGGGAGGCAGCAGUAGGGAAUCUUCCGCAAUGGGCGAAAGCCUGACGGAGCAACGCCGCGUGAGUGAUGAAGGUCUUCGGAUCGUAAAACUCUGUUAUUAGGGAAGAACAAAUGUGUAAGUAACUGUGCACGUCUUGACGGUACCUAAUCAGAAAGCCACGGCUAACUACGUG